UACGGAGGGUGCAAGCGUUAUCCGGAAUCACUGGGUUUAAAGGGUGCGUAGGCGGCUAGAUAAGUCAGAGGUGAAAGUUUGUCGCUUAACGAUAGAACUGCCUUUGAUACUGUUAAGCUUGAAAGUAGGUGAGGUUGGCGGAAUGUGACAUGUAGCGGUGAAAUGCAUAGAUAUGUCAUAGAACACCGAUUGCGAAGGCAGCUCGCUAAACUGUUACUGACGCUGAGGCACGAAAGCGUGGGGAGCAAACAGG
RNAcentral lists this ribosomal RNA (253 nucleotides) under uncultured bacterium. RNAcentral's name for it is "partial 16S ribosomal RNA". It matches the Rfam family "Bacterial small subunit ribosomal RNA", at positions 524 to 776 of the family's 1533-position model. The record is from RNAcentral.